GUCUCGUCCGACUAUCGACUCCGAGCUUUCGUCUUCCUUCCGUGUCCGUUAGAUUCUGAUGUUGCUGCCGAUGUCGUCGUCAUGAUCGACGUGUUUUGACCUCGCCGCGAGCUUACGUGUUGAGUAGUGAUGACUGGAUUUUGGCUUUGGAUGGUGUUCUUCAGGUAAGGCUCUGGCAAUAGUGCUCGCGGAGAAGGGGAUAUUCGUAACGGUGGUCGACUUCUCGGAAGACAGGGGAAAGGAAGUGGCCUCCCUCGUCGAGAAAGCGAAUUCCAAGUUCCACUUCAGCUUGGGAUUUCCCUCCUCCAUCUUCGUGAAAUGCGACGUCUCCAACUCGAGUGAGUUUGCCUCGUUGUCUCGAGCUUUUCAGGUUUCUCGGGUUUACGGAGAUUGUGGUGACGGUUGUUGUCUUGUUUGGUGAGUAGGGGAUGUCGUCAACGCCUUCGAGAAGCAUGUCACGACCUACGGGGGACUGGACAUUUGUAUCAAUUGCGCUGGCAUCAUUACCCCGAUCCCGUUCCACAAGGAUCAGACCAACGGGACUCGAUCCUGGCGGCACGCGCUGAACGUGAAUUUGGUCGCUGUCAUCGACUGCACUCACCUUGCGGUAAGUCCGCAAUUUUUCCAAGCACUUCACUUGGUGAUGCUGCAGUGACCAAGGCGAGCUUUUUGAGCAUUUGCCUGAGAUUAUCAUCUUGUUUUCUUUCUUCCUUUCCUCUUUUGGUUGGAGGGAGCAAUGACACUUCUGAGUGCUAGUGGAUAUUGCUUUACUGUGAGGAAAGUAGCACAAAAUGAUCUGCACUUCUUAACAGGUUAAGGCCAUGGAAUCUGCUGGGAGACCCGGUGUAAUAAUAAACAUGGGAUCUGCUGCAGGUCUUUAUCCUACGUACGCUGAUCCUAUCUAUUCUGCCUCAAAAGGUUAGUUCUCAGUUAAUGCCUCCUUUCAUUUUUCAAUUUCAAUUCUGUUUCCCCAGCUAUAUAUAUAGAGAGAGAGACGGAAUUCCUGCACCAGUGUCCCUCUGGUGAUACCACCUUUUAAUUAUUAAGAGACUUUAUAACAUUGCAGGUGGCGUCAUCUUGUUUACCAGAUCCCUUGCACCCUUCAAGCGCCGAGGAAUUCGCGUCAAUGUACUUUGCCCUGAGGUGCUGUAUUAAACUAGAAGGUUUUGUGAUGCGAUGUACUAGUGUAAUCAAAACUCAGGAAGAUUGUUUCUUUUGAUUGCUCAUCUCAUGCUGUUUGAAAGUCGUCAGCAAUUGACAUAGGCACUUUUAAUGACAUGAUUAUUCAUCUUCCUUUUUGUUUUUUCCCCUGAAGUGCUUAAUAUUGAGGAUUCAUUUUUCUGCUGUCAAUUCCAGAUUUGUUACAGGGGGAACUGUUGCCUUCGUGAAUUUGAAUCUUGCUCGGAUUUAUCUGAAUUUUCUCCUUUAUUAAUUUUAAUUUCAAGCAGGGGUAUUAUCGUGACCAGAAACUUCUAUGGACCUUAUGGUACAUGACUCUUCUUCUGAUGUUCAAUAGUGUCAUUAUCUAGAGCUGAUCUCUCCAAAUACUCGUUCUAGAUCGGGGAAGACCAAUAAUUUGCAAGUUGAUCUUCACUGCAGGAGAAACUCUGUUGUCCUGCUAUGUUUUUGUAUGUUGAAUAACACCUUAUGAAAUAAAUUCAUCAUGGUGAUUGGGAAACAUUAUUCUACCACGAAUACCUAACAUAGUUUCUGUGUCUGAGUGUUGGAUAUGUCUGAUUCCUUACACCCUGUUUUUGGAGCAGAAAGCUGAAAAAAUAUGUAACUGUGUUUCUUUUUAACUAGUCGUAGCACUGUUGGAGUGCCUGAAAAGAAUUGUAAGCUGGAGCUGAUUUAUGGAGGGAACUUCAAGAUAACAUUGCUAGGAUAUGGAAUUAUGCUUGGUCUUUUGAGGGAAUAAACUAUGUUAGCAGUUGUACUUGAUCCCUUUAGGGUGUAAAAUAAUAUACUAAUCUCAGCUAGUCUUUCUUUCUUUACCGAUUCUUGCUUUUCAUUUCCUUCAGGCUGGUCAUUUGGUCUACUGGGAGAUGCUUUGGUGACUGUUGGGUGCAUUAUCUUUAGUAAAUUUCAUUACUCCUAAUGCUGUAGAUCAAUGGGAAGCUUAAUCAUUACCGAAAAAUGUUGAGAAUUGCAUGUGCAUCAAGCUAUCUUCUCCUGUGACCUGGCCCUUUGUUUGAUCGUUGGUUUAGCUUAUUGUAGUCCAUUUUUAUCUGACCUGAUUUCCUUUGCUCCAGAAAAUGUAUUGUGGUGAGUAUGAUGCUUAAUAGAUUCUCUACUUAUGCAGUUUGUUCGAACAGAGAUGACCUUAAAGAUGGAUUCUGACUUCGUAGACUUGAUGGGGGGCUUUUUACCUAUGGAAAUGGUGGUGAAAGGUACAUCCAUAUACAGUCUUCUCCACGUGCUUUACAUCUUAUCGGACUUAUAAAUCAAAAUAUAUGAAAAUGACAUAGUUUUUGUAUGAUCGACACAAAUUCACUCUCUUACUGCAAUCAAAUUUUAUGAGCAUGAGUCGUUUGCUCUGGACUUUGGAGCAUUUAAAAUUUUCUGUAUUAGGAUUUAGAUAUACUAUAGAGAUGCAUACUGGUACAACUACAAAAUUUGUAGAAAAAUUUAAAGAACUGCCAUACAUGAUUAGUGAGGGACUCAUUGGAUCCUGCUCCAAAAAUGUGCUAUCAUAUGUAGAAGGGAUCGCUUCUGAUGGCUAGUCCACUUACACUUUCCAGGAGCUUUUGAACUUAUUACUGAUGAAAGCAAAGGUGGUUCAUGUCUAUGGAUCACAAAGCGCAAUGGCAUGCAAUAUUGGCCCAGUGCAGCAGAAGAGGCAAAAUACCGAGUGAAAUCCUCAAGUUUCACAAGAAGAUUAUUGUACAAAGGACCAGUGAAUUUGCAACUUCCUAAGAAUUUUGAGAAAAUGUGAGUGAAGAUAAUUUUGGGCUACUGUAUGUGUGUACAUAAUUGAACUGUUCAACCAGAGUAGUGUUUAGCUUCUUAUAGCGCAAACCUGGACUGCUUAGGUAUUCCGUAGGUACUCCAUCAGCUACAGUACGUCAUUGCUCUUGUAUAAGUGGAAUGACAAAUUGCCAUGAUGAGUUUAGGCUUGAUGGUCUUCCAUCUCUAUGAGGCUUCUAGACAAACUUCUUUCACAGUUUGACCAUGUUAUGUCAUUUUAUAUCGUAACAGCUUUUCUUUUCCUGGUUCGAUUACCAGGGUAAUGGGUACAGCUUGAACCAUAUCUUUGCUAAGAAUGAUUUCAUUCCCAUCCUUUAUUUAUCUUGUUUUACUUUAAACAUGCACAAAAGAGGAAGUCAGCUUUUGCAGAGUAGAUCUGUGUAUUAAUUUUCAAUGUGGACGUGAACAGUGGACUAAAGUAAUUGUAAGCAAUGACUUACUACACUUUAAUGCGCUUGACAUUUAUAUCACUGCAAUAGCCGUAUCAAUGCAAUUAUUAAAUUGUCAAAAAAUGAGUAUGCUUUAGAAUCAUCCAUUGAUGGUUUUCCCCUUCUAUAUGUUUGGAUUAAUAGGUGUCAGAGCACCCUCCAUAAGCUGUUAUACUGGUUAUGUUGAUCCUUGAGUUCCAAUUUUCUUUAGUGGAUUUUAGAUUUUUAGUUAAUAACAUGUUUUAUUAUCUGGUAUUCUUAUUGAAUCCUGAACGGAAUUUUUUCUUAAGCUUCUCUUCCUGAGGAACAAAGUACUUACAACUUAGAAAUUUUGUUUGGAAAUAUAAGCAUUUUAUCAAUUGGAAGAUCUAUUGAUGUAUUUUAAAUUUUUGUAUUCAGCGUGGUUCACACCUUGACUCACAAUUUCCGUGAUGCUACCCGGAUUAUUCAAACGCCUUUGAGGUUGCCAAUUGAACCACAGCAUGUCCUUGUGAAAAUCGUAUAUGCUGGAGUAAAUGCAAGUGAUGUAAGUUCAAGGCUUCUUUUAAGAAUAUUAGCUUUUUCUCAUCCUUUAUGAUUGGUAUUCUUUUAAUUUCAGGUAAAUCUUUCUCAUCCUCUUCUCAUAUGCAUAGUUCUGUGUCGGCUGAUCCAUUUGUAAAACUAUGCUUAAAACUUCAACUUGAAAUUUAGCUUUUCUAUUUGUUACUGUAGCAAACAUCAAAAAGCAAAUUGGAUCUUUGUAAUGUGGCUUAUAUACAAUUGAUAGGACUAUCCCUUAAUACAAGCCAACUAAGUUAUCCUUUAACCAGCCUAUGAGUUGAUAGAUGACUGAUAACUCAGCACCAAAGUUAGUGUUCCAAUUUCAUGAGAUGCUUGCUGGUAUAACUGGGUAUAACUGGUUUUUUCUUUUACUAAGAAUCUUUUAUUCCCUUCAACUUCAGGAGUUUGUUAUGUAUUUGAAGGUUUUCACUCAGGAUUCAGCUUGCAUGUCAAAAUCUAUACAGAAUCCAUGUGUAUUUCUGAUGCUAGCGCGUUUCUUGUGCAGUAUUUAAUAGAGAGAAUUUAUUAAAACUCCAGAGAUAAUCAUUUGACAGGCCCCAGACUGCUAGAUCUGUGUGACUGUUAGAUAUUAGGAGCGAUUGUGAAUACUUGAUAUAGAGUCAGCAUUCUAGCUUUUUUAAUAAAAAACAAUCAUGCUUUAAACAGGUGAAUUUCAGCUCGGGACGUUAUUUCCAAGGUGGAAAGGGAGAUGUUGGGUCCCAUCUUCCUUUUGAUGCUGGCUUUGAGGUCUGGGAAAAAUCUAUUUCUGUUGUCGCAUUUUGCAAUAUCCAAUAAUGCUGAUUUUCUUGGCAUAGUUUUGUGGUUCCUCUAGCAGCACCAUAUAUUUGUUAUACUCAUAAUGGUAUCUUCAUUAUGGACAUGGCAGGCUGUGGGGAUAAUCGCUGCAGUUGGUGAUUCUGUCAAGGAUUUGAAAGUUGGCAUGCCUGCUGCACUGAUGACUUUUGGAAGCUAUGCAGAAUUUACAAUGGUAAAAUUAUAUUCCAUAGGGAUAUUUUAAUGUCAAUGGCUGGUUUUGACUGUGGUUAAUAUCUUUCAUAGCCUCUCAGUACUGCAAAUUCAUGACAUGGAGAUCCCUGUUUUAUUGUAAUAAAUAUCAUUUCUUUCUCAGGUUCCGGCAAAACACGUCCUUUCAGUGGCCAGGCCAGAUCCAGAAGUAGUUGCCAUGCUUACUUCAGGGCUUACAGCAUCUAUGCACUAGAAAAGGUCGGACUUUUAUGCAAUAUAGCAAACUAUGCUUUUUAUUUCCUUUUGCAAUUUUAUUCGCUGGAGCUGUUGCUUCCGGUCAUUUUUCUAGUCUAAGUACACAAGAUAAUUACCUUCNNNNNNNNNNNNNNNNNNNNNNNNNNNNNNNNNNNNNNNNNNNNNNNNNNNNNNNNNNNNNNNNNNNNNNNNNNNNNNNNNNNNNNNNNNNNNNNNNNNNGACAUUAAUUUUCAUGUCCCCAAAUCCCAAAACAUGUGUAUAUGUAAAUGAAAAUUAGGAAAUCGUAUACUAAUGCAUGAUAGAACUUAAACCAAAUAAUGCGGUACCGAAAUUUGGACGUGGGGACUGCUAAUGCUCCCUCACGCAUAAUGUGACAUCCGGACUUAGAUAUCUACUUUUCAGGGAGGAGUUGGUCCCUAGGUGAUUCCCCCGACACCUAUGCUUUUAAAUUCUCAAUCAACCAAGAGAUGUUUUGUGGCGACUCCUUGAAAAGGCUUACGGUCCUAAUCGCGAUAACGUACCCCAACUCAGAAUUGGGAAGAGUCUGGGGCAUAGAGCAUGGUACUUGAAGUAAAAUUCGAGUAUUUCGUAAGAACUCUUUUCAAAUACCUAAAGUGAAAUAUAAGUAUUUCGUAAAAAUUAUUUUCGAAUCCCAAAAGUGGCUUCAUGGAGAGAAAAUAAUAAUGGGCACAUGAUUAAAAACUAAUGAAAUAAUGGAUUUAGCCAUGCUCGUUCACGGCUUGUGCGUGUGGAGUCGAGGGAAAUGUACUUUUUUUUUUUUUUUUUUUUUUUUUUUUUUGGCCUGAAGAGGGAAAUGUACUUCAAGCCAAAGUCUGCAAGGGAGGAAAGAAACAAAAACACAGUACAGGAAAGAAAAAAAAAAAAAAAAGAUAUGUUCUCUUUCCUUGGAGGUUCAGAUUUCUCACAUAUAAAGGAGGAGUUGACACUCAUAAAGACAAGAGAGGCGUGAGUUCCGAGAAAAGACGACAAUUCCAAGAAAGAGAGGAAAAAUGAAACAGGAGACAGAACGCGUUGAAAAUUCUAAAAAUUGUUAGUUGAAUUCUUUCAUCAAUUUCGUCUAACAUAAUUGACAGAAAAUGUUGACGUGAUUUUUUUAAUAUUUUCUCUCUCCCUUGUUUUGAUGCAAAUCAUAUUUAUUCAAAUUAACUUUAAAAUAUGCUAAAUAUAAAAAAUUGAAAGAAAAAUAACAGAAAAUGUUGACAUUUCACAUAAGACAACCGGUAUUCACGCAAGUGAUUUCUAACCUAAAUUGGAUGAAUAGAACAAUGCGAAAAAUUUUUGAAUUAAAUUGAUGCAAUUGAAAUGUUUACGUCUAAAUUAAUAUAAAUAUAAUAGGUUUAGCAUUGAAUUGGUACUUUUCCCUAUAGGUUUGUGUUACAUGUCUUUAAUCUAGUAAAUUUCCUGGGUAAACAAACGGAAUGUAAUAUAGAUAAUCUUUUUUUUUUUGGGUAAAUUUUGACUGUCAGAUUCUGCAGAUAAAUGAGAGGGUUAUAAAGAAAUAAAUCACAUCAAACCCUACAAAAAAAUCGUUGCAAAUUGAUUGUGGUCCUAAUUUCCAUUAAAGCCGUCUCCCAAAAAAAAAAAGACUUGGAAUAUUUCAAAAGCAUCGAAAUCCCCAAUACGUGACCCCCCCACUCCGGCGGGAUUCUCCUCGUUAAUUGGGCCGUCCAGAUCAGAUUAUCUUUCAUCGAUUCGGCUCGUUUGGUUAUUUUCGGGUGCGUACGGGAACAUGCUAUGCUCCGUGGGGGACUGCGAACCGCCGGCGGCUCGAUUCCCGGGCCGCCUCCGGCCGGAACGCGAACGAACGAACGAGUAACGACGAAAAGGAAAAGAUCCGCCGCCUCGCUCUUUCGUUCCUUCUCAUCCUUUUCGGGCCGAACAACCGACCGCCGGUGGACCCCACCGCAACCUCGUUUUUCCCGCCAUUGGAUCUGACGACGAAUCGUCAGCGACGGUUGCUUUGCUCUCUUCACUACCUUCUCCUUCUUCUCCUUCUUCUUCGUCUUCGAAACGUCGUCGGACGCCGGCAGCACUCACUCCCCGCGCGACCGCCCAUGGAGCUCAAGCCCGGCCUGUCCGCUCUCGUCACCGGCGGAGCUUCCGGCAUCGGUAAAAACCUCUCUUCUCCCCCGCUCGUCUCGCCUCCGCCGCCGCCGCCGGGGGAACUGUCGAUCGCAGUCGAACUCGAUUCGCGGCGAUCGGUCUGGUCCGACUAUCGACUCCGAGCUUUCGUUUCCGUUGGAUUCUGAUGUUGCUGCCGAUGUCGUCGUCAUGAUCGACGUGUUUUGAGCUCGUCGCGAGCUUACGUGUUGAGUAGCGUUGAUCGGGAUUUUGGCUUUGGAUGGUGUUCUUCAGGUAAGGCUCUGGCGAUAGCGCUCGCGGAGAAGGGGAUAUUCGUGACGGUGGUCGACUUCUCGGAAGACAGGGGAAAGGAAGUGGCCUCCCUCGUCGAGAAGGCGAAUUCCAAGUUCCACUCCAGCUUGAGAUUUCCCUCCGCCAUCUUCGUGAAAUGCGACGUGUCCAACUCGAGUGAGUUGCCCUGUUCUCUCUGUUCAUGAAGCUUUUUGGGAUUCACCGGUUUACGGAGAUUGUGGUGACGGAUGUUGUCUUGUUUGGUGAGCAGGGGAUGUCGUCAACGCCUUCGAGAAGCAUGUCGCGACCUACGGGGGACUGGACAUCUGCAUCAAUUGCGCCGGCAUCACUACCCCGAUCCCGUUCCACAAGGAUCAGACCGAUGGGACUCGAUCCUGGCGGCACGCGCUGAACGUGAAUUUGGUCGCCGUCAUCGACUGCACUCGCCUCGCGGUAAGACCGCAUAUUUUCCGAGCACUUAGCUUGGUGAUGCUGCAGUGACCAAGUCGAGCUUUUUUAUUAUUUGCCUGAGAUUAUCAUCUUGUUUUCUCUCUUUCUUUUGUCUUUCGGUUGGAGGGAGCAAUGACAAUUCUGAUUGCUAGUGGAUAUUGUUUUACCAUGAGGAAAGUAGCACAAAAUGAUCUGCACUUCUUAACAGGUUAAGGCCAUGGAAUCUGCUGGGAGACCUGGUGUUAUAAUAAACAUGGGAUCUGCUUCAGGUCUUUAUCCUAUGUACCCUGAUCCUAUCUACUCUUGCUCAAAAGGUUAGUUCUCAGUUAUUGCCUCUCAUUUUUCAAUUUUAAUUCUGUUUCCCCAGCUACAUAUAUAUAUAUACAUAUAUCUGACGGAAUUCCUGCACAAGGGUCCCUCUGGUGAUACUACGUUUCAAUUUUUAAGAGACUUGAUAACAUUGCAGGUGGUGUCGUCUUGUUUACCAGAUCCCUUGCACCCUUCAAGCGCCGAGGAAUUCGCAUCAAUGUACUUUGCCCGGAGGUACUGUAUUAAAUUAGAAGGUUUUGCGAUGCGAUGUACUAGUGUAAUCAAAACUCGGGAAGAUUGUUUCUUUUGAUUGGUUAUCUCGUGCUGUUUGAAAGUCUUCAGUACUUGACAUAGACACUUUUAAUGACAUGAUUAUUCAUCUUCCUCUUUGUUUUUUCGCCUGAAGUGCUUAAUCAAUUGAAGAUUCAUUUUUCUGCUCUCAAUUUCGCAUUUGUUACGGGUGGAACUAUUGCCUUCAUGAAUCUCGAAUCUUGCUCGAAUUUAUCAGAAAUUUCUCCUUUAUUAAUCUUAAUUUCAAGCAAGGGUAUCAUGAUGACCAGAAACUUCUGUGGACCUUAUGGAGUAUAUGACUCUUCUUCUGAUGUUCGAUAGUGUCAUCCUCUAGAGAUGAUCUCUCUAAAUACUCAUUCUAGAUCGGGGAAGACCAAUAAUUUGCAAGUUGAUCUUUCUGUUGUCCUGCUAUGUUUCUGUAUGUUGAAUAACACCUUAUGAAAUAAAUUCAUCAUGGUGAUUGAGAAACAUUAUUCUACCAGGAAUACCUAACAUAGUUUCUGUGUCUGAGUGUUCGAUAUGUCUGAUUCCUCACACCUUGUUUUUGGAGCAGAAAGCAAAAAAAAAAAAAAAAUGUAACUGUGUUUCUUUUUAACUAGUCAUAGCACUGUUGGAGUGCCUGAAAAGAAUUGUAAGCUGGAGCUGAUUUAUGGAGGGAACUUCAAGAUAACAUUGCUAGUAUAUGGAAUUGUACUUGGUCUUUUGAGGGAAUAAACUGUGUUAGCAGUUGUACUUGAUCCGUUUAGGGUGUAAAAUAAUAUACUAAUCUCAGCUAGUCCUUCUUUCUUUACUGAUUCUUGCUUUUCAUUUCCUUCAGGCUGGUCAUUUGGUCUACUAGGAGAUGCUUUGGUGACUGUUUGGUGCAUUAUCUUUAGUAAAUUGCAUUACUCCUAAUGCUGUAGAUCAAUGGGAAGCUUAAUCAUUACUGAAAAAUGUUGAGAAUUGCAUGUGCAUCAAGCUAUCUUCCCCUGUGACCUGCCCCUUUGUUUGAUCGUUGGUUUAGCUUAAAUUUUGAUGUUCAAAUUUCACUUAUUUGGUUUUUAUUAUGACAAUAAAAAGGAGCAUAGAAUUUUGUAGUCCAGUUUAAUCUGACCUGAUUUCCUUUGCUCCAGAAAAUGUCUUGUGCUGUGUAUGAUGCUUAAUGGUUGAAUCCUGAACUACUUAUGCAGUUUGUUCGAACAGAGAUGGCCUUAAAGAUGGACUCUGACUUUAUAGACUUGAUAGGGGGCUUUGUACCUAUGGAAAUGGUGGUGAAAGGUACAUCCAUAUAGUCUUCUCCACGUGCUUUACAUCUUAUCGGACUUUUAAAUCAAAAUGAAUAAAUAUAAAAUAGUUUUUGUAUGAUUGACACAAAUUCACUCUUUUACUGCAAUCGAAUUUUCUGAGCAUGAGUCGUUUGCUCUGGACUUUGGAGCAUUUAAAGUUUCUGUAUUAAGAUUUAGAUAUACUAUAGAGAUGCAUACUGGUACAACUGCAAAAUUUGUAGAAAAAUUUAAAGAACUGCCAUACAUGAUUAGUGAGGGACUCAUUGGACCCUGCUCCAAAAAUGUGCUAUCAUAUGUAGAAGGGAUCGCUUCUGAUGGCUAGUCCACUUACACUUUCCAGGAGCUUUUGAACUUAUUACCAAUGAAAGCAAAGGUGGUUCAUGUCUAUGGAUUACAAAGCGUGGUGGCAUGCAAUAUUGGCCCAGUGCAGCAGAAGAGGCAAAAUACCGAGUGAUAUCCUCAAGUUCCACAAGAAGAUUUUUGUACAAAGGACCAGUGAAUUUGCAACUUCCUAAUAAUUUUGAGAAAAUGUGAGUGAAGAUAAUUUGGGGCUACUGUUUGUGUGUACAUAAUUGAACUAUUCAACCAGAGUAGUGUUUAGCUUCUUAAAGCGUAAACCUGGACUGCUUAGGUAUUCCGUAGGUACGUAGGUACUCUAGAGAAUCCCUCUCCUGUUUAUUUAACAGAAGUUGUCAGCUACAGUACGUCAUUACAAAUUGCCAUGAUGAGUUUAGGUUUGAUGGUCUUCCAUCUCUAUGAGGCUUCUAAACAAACUUCACAGUUUGACCAUGUUAUUUCAUUUUAUAUCAUAACAGCUUUUCUUUUCCUGGUUCGAUUACUAGGGUAAUGGGUACAGCUUGAAACAUAUCUUAGCUAAGAAUGAUUUCAUUCCCAUCCUCCAUUUAUCUUGUUUUACUUUAAACAUGCACAAAAGAGGAAGUCAGCUUUUGCAGAGAAGAUCUGUGUCUAUGUUCAAUGUGGAUGUGAACCGUGGACUAAAGUAAUUGUAAGCAAUGACUUACUACGCUUUAAUGGGCUAGACAUUUAUAAUCUGCAAUAGCCGCAUCUAUGCAAUUAUUAAUUGGUCAAAAAUUGAGUAUGCUUUAGAAUCAUCCAUGGAUGGUUUUCCGCUUCUAUAUGUUUGGAUUAAUAGGUUUCGGAGCACCCUCCGUAAGCUGUUAUACUGGUUAUGUUGAUCCUUUAGUUCCAAUUUUCUAUAGUGGAUUUUAGAUUUUUAGUUAAUAACAUGUUUUAUUAUCUGGUAUUCUUAUUGAAUCCUGAAUGGAAUUUUUUUCUUAAGCUUCUCUUUCUGAGGAACAAAGUACUUUCAACUUAGAAAUUUUGUUUGGGAAUAUAAGCAUUUUAUCAAUUGGAAGAUCUAUUGAUGUAUUUUAAAUUUUUAUAUUCAGCGUGGUUCACACCUUGAGUCACAAUUUCCGCGAUGCUACCCGGAUUAUUCGAACGCCUUUGAGGUUGCCAAUUGAACCACAGCAUGUCCUUGUGAAAAUCGUAUAUGCUGGAGUAAAUGCGAGUGAUGUAAGUUCAAGGCUUCUUUUAAGAAAAUUAGCUUUUUCUCAUCCUUUAUGAUUGGUAUUCUUUUAAUUUCAGGUAAAUCUUUCUCAUCCUCUUCUCAUAUGUAUAGCUCUGUGUAUGCUGAUCCUUUUGUAAAACUAUGCUUAAAACUUCAACUCGAAAUUUAGCUUUUCUAUAUGUUACUGUAGUAAACAUCAAAAAGCAAAUUGCAUCUUUGUAAUGUGGCUUAUAUACAAUUGGUAGGACAAUCCCUUAAUACAAGCCAACUAAGUUAUCCUUUAACCAGCCUAUGAGUCGAUAGAUGACUGAUAACUUGGCACCAAAGUUAGUGUUCCAAUUUCUUGAGAUGCUUGCUGGUAUAACUGGUUUUUUAUUUUACUAAGAAUCUUUUUUUCUCUUCAACUUCAGAAGUUUGUUAUGUACUUGAAGGUUUUGACUCGGGAUUCAGCUUGCAUGUCAAAGUCUAUACAGAAUCCAUGUGUAUUUCUGAUGCUAGCACAUUUCUUGUGCAGUAUUUAAUAGAGAGAAUUUAUUAAAACUCCAGAUAUCAUCAUUUAGUAAUUGCUCAUUAGCUAAUAUUUAUUAUCACUAUCUGACAGGCCCCAGACUGUUAGAUCUGUGUGACUCUGUUAGAUAUUAGGAGCGAUUGUGAAUACUUGAUAUAGAGUCAGCAUUCUAGCUUUUUUAAUAAAAAAAUCAUGCUUUAAACAGGUGAAUUUCAGCUCAGGACGUUAUUUUCAAGGUGGAAAGGCAGAUGUUGGGUCCCGUCUUCCUUUUGAUGCUGGCUUUGAGGUCUGGGAAAAAUCUAUUUCUGUUGUCACAUUUUGCAAUAUCCAAUAAUGCUGAUUUUCUUGGCAUAGUUUUGUGGUUCCUAUAGUGGCACCAUAUAUUUGUUAUACUCAUAAUGGUAUCUUCAUGAUUGACAUGGCAGGCUGUGGGGAUAAUUGCUGCAGUUGGUGAUUCUGUCAAGGACUUGAAAGUUGGCAUGCCUGCUGCACUGAUGACUUUUGGAAGCUAUGCAGAAUUUACGAUGGUAAAAUUAUAUUCCAUAGGGAUAUUUUAAUGUCAAUGGCUGGUUUUGACUGUGGUUAAUAUCUUUCAUAGCCUCUCGGUACUGCAAAUUCAUGACAUGGAGAUCCCUGUUUUAUUGUAAUAAAUAUCAUAUCUUUCUCAGGUUCCGGCAAAACACGUCCUUUCAGUGGCCAGGCCAGAUCCAGAAGUAGUUGCCAUGCUUACUUCAGGGCUUACAGCAUCUAUUGCACUAGAAAAGGUCGGACGUUUAUGCAAUAUAGCAAACUAUCUUUUUAUUUCCUUUCGCAAUUUUAUUUGCUGGAGCUGUUGCUUUCGGUCAUUUUUCUAGUCUAAGUACAUCGAGAUAAUUACCUUCAGACAUCUGAUCAUGUCUCAUAUGCUAUAUUAAAAUUUGCGUUUGCUCUUGUUGAAAAUUUAGGCUGGACAAAUGGAAUCUGGCAAAGUAGUUCUUGUUACAGCUGCUGCAGGAGGGACUGGGCAAUUUGCUGUCCAGGUCUGUUUCUCAUUCAGAUUGAUGCUAUUAAAUUAGUAAUAUUAGAUCUAUGACAAUGUGAUUUUGCAACUAUAGUAGGAUUGCAGAGGUCAGUAUUGAGGGAAUGAGAUAUGACGAUCUCUAUCUGUAGUGUUUUUACAUAAUUUCAAUUGAUUGAUGUCCAACAAUUAGUCUAUUGAUACGGUAACUUACUAAAGUGAAAGGUGCUGAAGAAGACGCCAUGAAUUAGGGAGUCGUUAAGUAAGGAUAGUUGGAAAUAAAAACUUUGAAGAACACCCUGCAGUCACAUCUAGCUCUUAGAGGUCCGCUUAACUGGCUUUCUAUCUACAUGCUUGCCAAGCUUGCUUGUCUACUUGAAUGUUACUCCUAAUCUUUUCUUUAGUAGGUGUAUGAUCUUGUCAUGAUCAGGUAAUGUGAUGUGUUUAAUCAUAAUACGGUAUCUAUAGGGGUUUGCUUAUGUACCCUUCUGUCCCGAGUAGUCAAGAACAAUAAAAAUUAUACCCUCCUGCAAAUUUAGGUGAUUGUUAUCCAGAAUUCUGGCUAUCUAGUUGUCUAAUUUUCCAUUGUUAUAUAUUGAUCUUUCCAGUUGUAGACUUAGAAGAAUUAAAAAAUUAACUUAAGUUGCUUUUGCAUAUUUGCAUGUAGCCUUGUGUCCUUGCAUUCAUGAUUCCGCGUGUUUGCCAAAAGGGAAGAAUUAAACUGCAGCUUGCUGAUAUUAUUGUUUCUAAUAUGUUAGCAUUUUCUUCCGGAAGAAAAGAAUCUCUUCUUUCUUAAACACAACAUUGCGUGUGCUUAACUAUGUUCCUCAACUGCCCACAUAAUUUUACACUACUAAGAGUCACUUUGUCUAUGGUGACCAUUUCAGCUUGCAAAAGUUGCUGGAAAUACAGUAGUAGCAACCUGUGGAGGGAGGGAGAAGGCCAUGCUUUUGAAGGAUUUGGGAGUCGAUCGUGUGAUAGAUUAUAAAGCUGAAAACAUCAAAACUGUAUGUCUCCUAAAAUCUGUCUCAUCUGUUCAACUCUCCUUUUUGCACACAAUGUGGAGGUUGAGAUCAAAGACCCUGAUUCAUUCAAGUAGUGUAGCAAAUUAUUUCUAGAUAAGUUCACUGUCACACACAUCUCAGUAGAUAGUUAUAUUGAUUAGGUAAAAUUAAAUGAGCAUAUUCAUCCACAUAUGCACAGAUACUAUCAUAUCUACUCAUGCAAAAUUAAUGUGUACAUGAAACCUUGGAAAUUCUCUUUACCUUCAAUGUUCAUUUUAUUUUUGAAAUGUAGUGCUACUACAUGAUCCUCCAUGCGAAUCCUUUUUGAUAUGGAUCUACUUGGCUGGAUUUGUGAUCAAUUCCUAUCACCUAUUCAACGUCUAAAGAAUAACUUUAGCCUUUUGUCAAUAAGUCGUCUUUGCCCCUCCAUUGGGCUCUGGCGUCUGAAUGCCACUGACAUUAUCCGCAUUUUCAUGUUACAACUUUCCUAUCCUUAAAAGAGGUGCAGAAGAUAAAAAGGUGAUGGUGUUAUAGAACCUUGUUUUUUCUCAUACGGGACACCCUCAAGUGAACAACAGUGUGCCUUAGUGAAUGGUUUACUCUUUGACAUUUUUGUAAUUUCAUACCAUGUCUCAAAUAGCUAGCUGCAGCCUUCCCUUGUGCAUGAACUUUAUGCAGUUUAAUUACUAUUCUCUAUAUUGUAACAAUUCUUGUAGGAUUAUGUUUGGAGUCUAGACCGGUUUCUGCAUUUUUUUCUCCUCUUGGAUUUAGUUUUUUUGUGAACUUUCAUUUAAAAUGAAUUCAUUUAUCAUGAUUUACAAGAUAAUGCAUGAUACUCAAAUAAAAGAUUAUGUAAUGAGCUUUUUCUCUAUCUUUUCCAAAUUUACAGGUUUUGAAGAAGGAAUUUCCAAAAGGUGUUGACAUAGCUUAUGAGUCUGUUGGUGGGGAAAUGUUUGAUCUUUGCUUGAAUGCUUUGGCCAUGUUUGGACGAUUGAUUGUAAUUGGCAUGAUUUCUCAGGUAUUGCAUCCUUAUGUUGUUGACAUCCAUCUGGGCCCAAUCUUUUAUCAUGAGUUUCCAGCAGUUCCAAUGUCAAACUUAGUUAUCUCGAGUAGGCUGUGUGGAAGCUUUUACAUUCUUGCUCACUUUCAGUGAGAUACCACUGAAAGGAAAGUUAGGUUUCUGAAGUUUUUGUAUGAGUCUUGUGGUCGUAAUGCAUGGUAGAAGUUCUACUGCGAUCACAUUUCUGUGCACAGAGGGUCACAAGACAGACAUGAAGAUGUUUUGCUUUGUAUAAUGAGGAAUAUUGGUUAGAGAUGCUAUAGAAAUAAAGAAGACUGUGCAAGGAGUCUUUGUAGCAAGUGCUACAUGUUUUCUAUCAACAUGCAUGUAUGGUUUUUCUCCAGUGUCUCCUGUUGUUGCGUUCUGUUCCCUCAAUAUGCAUACCGUUCUAACAUUCUUCAUGCUUGAGUAUUACCUAUUGACAGUUGUACAUAAUUUUUAACCAGUACAAAAUUACUACUUUGAUUGUAGUAUCAAGGAGAGCAUGGAUGGACACCAAAUAAUUACCCUGGACUGUGCGAGAAAAUUCUGGCUAAAAGCCAAACUGUGGUAUGUUUGAUAAUACUACUGCGUAAAGGACAGUGAUUGUACUCUACUGCAAUAAUUUUGCUCUUGGUGAUGCGCCAACUAUAUAUCAGGAAUAAGCAUGGACUGUGAAUUCUAUAGUUGUUUAUGCCUUUCUCCCCUUGAAGUGUAUAAUAUGAUAUUGACAAUGUUGGCAGGCUGGUUUUUUCCUGGUACAAUAUAGUCACUUCUGGCAAGAACAUCUAGAUAGACUCUUUCAACUCUAUUCCAGAGGACAACUCAAGGUACUGCUCUUCUUCUUCUUUUUUUAACGUUUCUUUUACUGGUGAGACCGGACUCUUUCAUCAUAGAUCAUGCUGAACUUACAUUUCAUUAAUUGUAGAUAUCUGUGCCUUUCGCACAAUGCAAGGCCCUUACUUUCCUGUUAUCUUAUUCCUUCAGCCUUAUUUUGAUAUCCAAUUCCCUACCAAAAGUCGCUGCCAAACUAAAUCUGUAGAAUCAGUUGGAUGAUUAUCUCUGUGCCUAAGUUGCUAUCGCUGCUGAAUUUCAAAGUUCGCCCAGACUUAAUCUUCUAACUGAAUGCAGGUGGCCAUCGACCCAAAGAGAUUUGUGGGUCUCAAUGCUGUGGCAGAUGCUGUUGAGCAUCUUCAUUCUGGUAAAAGUAUUGGCAAGGUAUGUUCAUUUUCCACGAAUUUUAUGGAUAUUUUGGGCACAUCAUUUGCAAAUUUCAUUACUUUGUUUUUUUUUUUCUUUUCUUGAUGCAUAAUAAAUUUUGUGAAUAUGAACAAAAUCUUAUUCCAGGUGGUGGUCUGCAUAGAUCCAACUUUCACUGAUCAAGUAGCAAGACUGUGAAGUCUGAUCAAGGCUGUUUGAUUGUUUUGUUAAUAACUGUCAAAGUGAAUUACAAAGGGAUCUGUUUGAAAUAAUGUCUCAGAGUGCAUAUCCUUCCAAGCGAUUAUUAGGGAACUGCAGUAAGAGACCUCGAGAAAAUGAAAGUUAAUCUUCAGCAGAAAAAACCAAAAGGCUACAAAGGAAUUGAAGUGAUAAAUAUGAAUUGCCCAUGGCUUUUUGCCAGGCGACAAAAGCUGGUAAGUCCCCUUUAGAUAUUCUGACAACCCUUUUGUGGUCAUUCUCAUAAACAGAACCGUCGCACAAAUGAUUACAAUGUAAGGAAACAUCAUUUUUGAUGUAAACAGAUCGGUUGAAGUGUCCCAUUUAACACCCUGUUUUUUGUUCAGCUGGGCGUUAAUGACGUGGUAGAUCACUGUUUGAUUCUUUUUCUUACAUAAUGCUUUUGGUGUUCAAAAAGCUAGUGACGUUAAUUACCCGCACCGCCCGAUUAACCGCAAAAUAACUUAGGAUGUUUCAGACACAAUGAAAGAUAUGUCUUGUACAACUUUGAUGGUGCAAAAAGCAAGCAUGUUGCUGUUAAUUUUAGAUAGAAUACUACUGAUACAUACUGCUCCCAUGACAAUCAAUGCCCAAGCACAUAGCAGGAACGCGUUGCACUCUUGUUCACUUUCCACCUGUCAAAAUAUCAAAGUAGUUACACUCCUGUGACUGGAAGAGCGCAUGGUACGUGUAUUGAGGGUGGAAGGCAUUCGCAAUUACACACAGCAUGCUAUUGAUCAAGUCAUUACCUCAUUGAAGCAAAGAGGGAUGAUAAACUCUGCAGUUCUGUUCACUUUUGAAUUUAUAUCAUAAGAUAAAAUUAAAAUCGAAUGUAUAAAAAAUACUACUAAGAUUAAAUUAAAAAACUAAUUUUUUUAUUUUUGGUAAGAAUUAAAAAACUAAUUUUUAUUUUUUAAAAUUUUGAAUUUCUUAUAUUAUAGUUCAAAUAUUAUUUAUAUUGAAGUAUAAUUUUAAUUUUAUUAAUUUAAUAAGUUUAUUAUUCGAGAAAAAUAACUUUCCUAUUAUAUAUAUUAAAAAUCAUAUCCAUAUUUAUCCUACCUCUCUAUGAGAUAAUUUUAUUCGGCCUAUAACCUUCUUAUAUCUAAUUUUAUCAUGUGUUGAGUAGACACAAGAAUUUUAUCUUGAUCGUUAAACGCAGUCUUAGAAUGUAUAGGAAUUGCUCUUGGUAAUCUCAUUCCGGUAGAUGUCUACUCUGCUGAUGGUAAAACUUGUAACUGAAAGUGAUAUAUAGAAAAUUAGAUGCAUACUUGCUGUACCAAAAAUUGUUUAGCAUCAAUUUGUCACUCUCUAUAGCAUGCUUCAUAAAUCGUCACAUUCUUUAUAUUUCUUUUAACCCUCUUGUCGGAAGCAAUUGAUGGAACAAAAGCAAUCCAAUUUUUAGGGAGUCAGAAAGAACAGUGUAUUCUUACUUGCUCGAAUCCGUUUGGCGCUUCUUGUUAAGUAUUUGACAUCUGCUUCCCUUUUCUCCUCUUUCCGGACUUCCGCUUCCUUCUUCUCCUUUCCACGGUCUUCUGCUUCCUCCUCGUCCUCCCCUUCAGCGACUUCCGCUUCCUUCUCCUCUGAUUCAUAGGCUCUGACGUUGUGUACCUGCCGAAAGGCAAGCACUAAUUUGUAGUAAAGCCAGCAUAAAAGCUGAGGUGCUAAUCUAAGUACUUCAAGAUGGAUGUUUAAAAUGCCCGGCAAACGACGAGCUGAGCGGUCACUAUCUACGAUUCAUCCGUGCAUGCCCGGGGGUUCAGAAGACUUACCUUAAAUGUCAAAGGCUGGAUCAGUUGAAACACCGGAGCAUCUCCGUCGACAAGAUCAUGAGCAAUGGAGAAACCUCUCCACCCGCCACUAAGGCCAUUCUUGUCAAUGAGAUACUUCGUCUAGAACUCUUCUUCAUCCUCGUCCACGAGGGUCACGGUGUGAUCCCGGUGAGGGAGAUGCUUGUGGCAGAAGUUAUAUGGAAGGCUCUUGAAAACAGGGGAGACAAAUCAUCCAUUAGAAGCUCUGAUAAAUAGCUCUACCAGCUUCUUGUAGAGACUAUUAGCCAGUUUUUAUGCAAAGUCAGCUGCACGGAGGCCUACCCGAAAUUUCGAAGGCUGUGCCCUUUUUCUAAUUACAAGUCAUUAUCGCAUUUUACUACACAUCGAAGGUAAGGGAGGUCCCUCGCUACUACAAACGUAAGGCAGCUUUAUCAAGACUGCAUCCACUACAAAAAAACAGCCGAGGAACAGAAAUGGAUCAAUUACAGCACAUCUCCUGCUGCUUCAAAGCGGUAAGAGUUAGUGCUUAUUGAACUCUUCCAUUACUAUAUUCAUAACCAACAAUCAUUCAAAAUCUUCUUUCCUUCAGACAAACCACAGAUAACUAUUUCAGGAAAAAGCUGCCAAAAAUCCUAAAUUAUGUCCACUUUAACGCAUUCACCCCAAACUAACACAAAAAGCCCAAAACUUGUUCUCAUGUGAUAUAUUUAUUCUAAACUUAUAUCAAUAUGAUGUAUUUACCCAAAAAAAGAAAAAAAAAAGUUCUUGUGACACCAAAAACCAGUUUAGAGUUUAUGGUGUCACCAAAAUAAUUGGAGGUAAAUAUGUUACACAGAUACAAAUUUAGAAUUACUUGUUAUGCAUGCUAAUACAACGAAAUUGCACGUUGUGAUGAGAUUUGUAUGUUGUUAGAUAAUGCACAUUACUAUUGAAAUAGAAUUUGGGAUUUGGGAUUGUCCCUGAUGUUUUGCUCUUUCAAUUUUAUACACGGAUUAUUUUGAAAUCGUUGAGGUUCGACAAUUGGCUAGAGUAAGAAGGGAGGGGAGAGAAAAGAAAAGGAGAGACAAGAAAAUAGGGAAAAAGAAAAGAAUAAAAACAAACAAAUAAAUAGAAGAAUAUUAUUUAAUAUUGUCCAAAUCAGCAUCGGUUGCACCACAUAGAAUGAUUGUCAUUGAAUUGGGAUAAAUGCAAAAAGUUUUGGACUCAAUUGGUAGAAAAAAAAAAGUUUAAGACUGAAUCGGUAUAGUUACAAUAUGUUUAUGACUUUUUUGAUAAUUUUCCUCUAUUUACAUGUUGGUCAAAUGCGUUCUCGCUGUCCUGAUAUAUAUUAGGUGUUUUUGUUUGUUUGCAUGUUGGGAUUGGAUUCCUCAUUGAACUUAAAAUAUACAGGAGGUGUAUAUCUUGUGCAUGCUGUCUAGACUAGAUCCGUCUUGCUUUGCUUGAAAGGUAAAAUGGAAUGUCCGAUUGAUAUGGAUUUGAUUCAUCCAUUAGACUUUGCCUUGACUGCAUUGCAUUCGGAAAUGACAACAAUCACACACGGCAUGACAGAGUGGAGCCGUCACUUGCUCGGUCCAUGAUGCAGCUAUUUCACCUGAGGGCAGGCGACAUAAUUUUUUUUUUUUUUUACCGUCAGAUUCUGCAAAUAAAUGAGAGGGUUACAAAGAAAUAAAUCACAUCAAACCCUACAAAAUCGUUGCAAAUUGAUUGUGGUCCUAAUUUCCAUCAAGCCACCUCAAAAAAAAAAAAAAACUUGGAAUAUUCCAAAUCCAUCGAAUCCCCAACACCUGACCCCGCACUCCCUCGGCAUUCUCCUCGUUAAUUGGGCCGUCCAGACCAGAUUUUCUUUCAUUGAUUCGGCUGGUUUGUUUAUUUUCAGGUGCGAACGGGAGCAUGCCAUGCUCCGUGCGGGGGAUAUAUAAAGCCGUGGGCCAUGACGUGUCGGCAAUGGCGAACCGCCGGAGACAAUUUUAAAGUCAAAGCCUCGCCGCCGGCCCUCGCCUCCGGCCGGAGCGCGAACGAACGAACGAGUGACGACGAGAAGGAAAAGAUCCGCCGUCUCGCUCUUUCUUUCUCAUCCUUUUUGGGCCAAACAACGGCCCCCGGCGGACCCCACCGUAACCAAUAAAAUAUUCAGUGAUGCCAAAGCGCCACGUCAAUUGCUGACGUGCCGCGCUUUUUAUUUAUAUCCAAUAAUAGUGACACGUGUUGGAUGAGGUGGAAUAAAAAAUGAAAAUCUUUUUUUUUUUCAACUUCCUACACCACCCACUCUUCUCCUCUCCUCUGCAAAUCGUUUCUCGGCCAUGGAUGGACGACACGGCCUCCUCCUCCUUCCGGCCACCGCCUGCCCAGCCACUUGAGAAUCCGGUGCGGCCGUCUCCACCGCACAAGCCAGAGGGGACUUGGAACAGUUCAUGGAGUCUCUCUCUCUCUCUGGUGUCUCCUUCCGUUGUCCUCCCUUCAAGUUCCCUUCCGUGAAGCCCAGCCAUGACAGAUCUGGAGCCAUGGCCGUGUUCUCGACAGACCUUGGAGCCAGAUCUGUCGCGGUUAUGGAUUCACAGACGAGGCCGGCCCUCGCCAGAUCUGGGCGAGGGAUGGCCUCGUCAAGACUUGUUCCAUCAUUUUUGAAGGCUCAGCCAUGAUGGCUCGACCGAGAUCUGGAGAAGGCUUAGCGCUCAGCUUUUCCGAAGCUCGGUGAUGACUGGAGGAGGGAGUCGCCGAGAUCUAAAGGUUGGCCAGGUCUGUUGCGGCCAUGGCUUCGCGGUUCCAGAUCUGGAUGCGGCCAAGUGACACCGGAAGGGGCGGAGAUGGUGGCCGCACGGGUGUCCUCUGUCAGGGAGGAAGAUGAAGAGAGAGAAAAAAGAUUUUUUUUUCCCACCUUAUCCAACACGUUUCGAUCUAUUAUUGGAUAUAAAUAAAAAGCGCGUCACGUCAGCAAUUGACGUGGCGCUUUUUGGAACCAGUGAAUAUUUUCUGAUCCGACGACAAAUCGUCAGCGACGGUUACGUUUCUCAUUUCACUAUGACUUCCUUCUUCUUCUUCUUCGAAACAUCGUCGGACGCCGGCAGUACCGCGCGCGCCACCACCCAUGGAGCUCAAGCCCGGCCUUUCCGCUCUCGUCACCGGCGGAGCUUCCGGCAUCGGUAAAAACCUCUCCUCUCCCUCGCUCGUCUCGCCUUCGCCGCCGCCGCCGCCGCCGCCGCCGCCGCCGGCGAUUCACGGCGAUCGGUCUCGUCCGACUAUCGACUCCGAGCUUUCGUCUUCCUUCCGUGUCCGUUGGAUUCUGAUGUUGCCGCCGAUGUCGUCGUCAUGAUCGACGUGCUUUGACCUCGUCGCGAGCUUACGUGUUGAGUAGUGAUGACUGGAUUUUGGCUUUGGAUGGUGUUCUGCAGGUAAGGCUCUGGCGAUAGCGCUCGCGGAGAAGGGG
This 21554-nucleotide long non-coding RNA is filed under the name Eucalyptus grandis. RNAcentral's name for it is "long non-coding RNA (EGRA_LNC004242)". Lineage: Eukaryota; Viridiplantae; Streptophyta; Magnoliopsida; Myrtales; Myrtaceae. The record is from RNAcentral.